RNAcentral lists this ribosomal RNA (620 nucleotides) under Staphylococcus sp. RNAcentral's name for it is "bacterial SSU rRNA". It matches the Rfam family "Bacterial small subunit ribosomal RNA", at positions 56 to 658 of the family's 1533-position model. Lineage: Bacteria; Bacillati; Bacillota; Bacilli; Caryophanales; Staphylococcaceae. The record is from RNAcentral.
UGCUAGUCGAGCGAACAGAUAAGGAGCUUGCUCCUUUGACGUUAGCGGCGGACGGGUGAGUAACACGUGGGUAACCUACCUAUAAGACUGGAAUAACUCCGGGAAACCGGGGCUAAUGCCGGAUAACAUAUAGAACCGCAUGGUUCUAUAGUGAAAGAUGGUUUUGCUAUCACUUAUAGAUGGACCCGCGCCGUAUUAGCUAGUUGGUAAGGUAAUGGCUUACCAAGGCGACGAUACGUAGCCGACCUGAGAGGGUGAUCGGCCACACUGGAACUGAGACACGGUCCAGACUCCUACGGGAGGCAGCAGUAGGGAAUCUUCCGCAAUGGGCGAAAGCCUGACGGAGCAACGCCGCGUGAGUGAUGAAGGGUUUCGGCUCGUAAAACUCUGUUAUUAGGGAAGAACAUAUGUGUAAGUAACUGUGCACAUCUUGACGGUACCUAAUCAGAAAGCCACGGCUAACUACGUGCCAGCAGCCGCGGUAAUACGUAUGUGGCAAGCGUUAUCCGGAAUUAUUGGGCGUAAAGCGCGCGUAGGCGGUUUCUUAAGUCUGAUGUGAAAGCCCACGGCUCACCCGUGGAGGGUCAUUGGAAACUGGGAAACUUGAGUGCAGAAGAGGA